This is a non-coding RNA of Schistosoma margrebowiei, 45 nucleotides long. Lineage: Eukaryota; Metazoa; Platyhelminthes; Trematoda; Strigeidida; Schistosomatidae. The record is from Rfam.
AUCUAGCCCAAGAGUCCCAAAUAGGACGAAACGCGCAUUCUGUAU